RNAcentral lists this ribosomal RNA (465 nucleotides) under uncultured Klebsiella sp. RNAcentral's name for it is "bacterial SSU rRNA". It matches the Rfam family "Bacterial small subunit ribosomal RNA", at positions 338 to 795 of the family's 1533-position model. The record is from RNAcentral. Lineage: Bacteria; Pseudomonadati; Pseudomonadota; Gammaproteobacteria; Enterobacterales; Enterobacteriaceae.
CCUACGGGUGGCAGCAGUGGGGAAUAUUGCACAAUGGGCGCAAGCCUGAUGCAGCCAUGCCGCGUGUGUGAAGAAGGCCUUCGGGUUGUAAAGCACUUUCAGCGGGGAGGAAGGCGGUGAGGUUAAUAACCUCAUCGAUUGACGUUACCCGCAGAAGAAGCACCGGCUAACUCCGUGCCAGCAGCCGCGGUAAUACGGAGGGUGCAAGCGUUAAUCGGAAUUACUGGGCGUAAAGCGCACGCAGGCGGUCUGUCAAGUCGGAUGUGAAAUCCCCGGGCUCAACCUGGGAACUGCAUUCGAAACUGGCAGGCUAGAGUCUUGUAAAGGGGGGUAGAAUUCCAGGUGUAGCGGUGAAAUGCGUAGAGAUCUGGAGGAAUACCGGUGGCGAAGGCGGCCCCCUGGACAAAGACUGACGCUCAGGUGCGAAAGCGUGGGGAGCAAACAGGAUUAGAUACCCGAGUAGUC